RNAcentral lists this ribosomal RNA (340 nucleotides) under uncultured bacterium. RNAcentral describes it as "partial 16S ribosomal RNA". It matches the Rfam family "Bacterial small subunit ribosomal RNA", at positions 338 to 692 of the family's 1533-position model. The record is from RNAcentral.
CCUACGGGUGGCAGCAGUGGGGAAUAUUGGGCAAUGGGCGCAAGCCUGACCCAGCAACGCCGCGUGAAGGAAGAAGGCUUUCGGGUUGUAAACUUCUUUUAGCAGGGACGAAGCAAGUGACGGUACCGGAUGAAUAAGCCACGGCUAACUACGCGCCAGCAGCCGCGGUAAGACGUAGGUGGCAAGCGUUAUCCGGAUUUACUGGGUGUAAAGGGCGUGUAGGCGGGAGUGCAAGUCAGAGGGGAAAACUAGGGGCUCAACCCCUAGCCUGCAUUUGAAACUGUACUUCUUGAGUGCUGGUGAGGCAAUCGGCCUUCCGUGUGUAGCGGUGAACUGCGUA